RNAcentral lists this ribosomal RNA (608 nucleotides) under uncultured bacterium. Its description in RNAcentral is "bacterial SSU rRNA". It matches the Rfam family "Bacterial small subunit ribosomal RNA", at positions 338 to 944 of the family's 1533-position model. The record is from RNAcentral.
CCUACGGGAGGCAGCAGUAAGGAAUAUUGGACAAUGGACGCAAGUCUGAUCCAGCCAUGCCGCGUGAAGGAUUAAGGCCCUCUGGGUUGUAAACUUCUUUUAUAGGGGACGAAAAAAGGGCUUUCUAGCUCGACUGACGGUACCCUAUGAAUAAGCACCGGCUAACUCCGUGCCAGCAGCCGCGGUAAUACGGAGGGUGCAAGCGUUAUCCGGAUUCACUGGGUUUAAAGGGUGCGUAGGCGGGCAUUUAAGUCAGUGGUGAAAUCUUCGAGCUCAACUCGGAAACUGCCAUUGAUACUAUUUGUCUUGAAUAUUGUGGAGGUGAGCGGAAUAUGUCAUGUAGCGGUGAAAUGCUUAGAUAUGACAUAGAACACCGAUUGCGAAGGCAGCUCGCUACACAAAUAUUGACGCUGAGGCACGAAAGCGUGGGGAUCAAACAGGAUUAGAUACCCUGGUAGUCCACGCCCUAAACUAUGGAUACUCGACAUUUGCGAUACACAGUAAGUGUCUGAGCGAAAGCAUUAAGUAUCCCACCUGGGAAGUACGACCGCAAGGUUGAAACUUAANAGAAUUGACGNNGAGAGNGCGAGACGACGACGAGGGAGAGG